UUGGAGGGCAAGUCUGGUGCCAGCAGCCGCGGUAAUUCCAGCUCCAAUAGCGUAUAUUAAAGUUGUUGCAGUUAAAAAGCUCGUAGUUGAAUUUCGGGGUUAGUAGGUUGGUCAUGCCUCUGGUAUGUACUGGUCUCACUGAUUCCUCCUUCCUGAUGAACCUUAAUGCCAUUUAUUUGGUGUUUUGGGGAAUUUGGACUGUUACUUUGAAAAAAUUAGAGUGUUCAAAGCAAGCUAACGCUUGAAUACAUUAGCAUGGAAUAAUGAAAUAGGACGUUCGAUCCUAUUUUGUUGGUUUCUAGGAUUGACGUAAUGAUUAAUAGGGAUAGUUGGGGGCAUUAGUAUUCAAUUGUCAGAGGUGAAAUUCUUGGAUUUAUUGAAGACUAACUACUGCGAAAGCAUUUGCCAAGGAUGUUUUCAUUAAUCAAGAACGAAAGUUAGGGGAUCGAAGACGAUCAGAUACCGUCGUAGUCUUAACCAUAAACUAUGCCGACUAGGGAUCGGAUGAUGUUAAUUUUUUAAUGACUCAUUCGGCGCCUUACGGGAAAC
RNAcentral lists this ribosomal RNA (549 nucleotides) under uncultured Glomeromycotina. Its description in RNAcentral is "SSU rRNA". It matches the Rfam family "Eukaryotic small subunit ribosomal RNA", at positions 548 to 1098 of the family's 1831-position model. The record is from RNAcentral. Lineage: Eukaryota; Fungi; Glomeromycota.